This 266-nucleotide long non-coding RNA is filed under the name Capsicum annuum. Its description in RNAcentral is "long non-coding RNA (CANN_LNC016262)". Lineage: Eukaryota; Viridiplantae; Streptophyta; Magnoliopsida; Solanales; Solanaceae. The record is from RNAcentral.
UUCAAUUAUGCUUAAGUGUCCCUUUUAUACUUGGUCUGAAUGACACAAAAAAUACUUAACUCCAUGCCGUGGAGCUCAUCGCAGACACUAGGUUCUAUGGCAUGGAGAUAUUGCGGACCUCUAUUGGAAAUUAUAAUUUGAGAUUUACCAGCCUCUGUGCCAACUCCAUAUAUAUAAUGUUGAUCCCAGACUUUGUGCCAUGCUUUCGAACCUUGUUCCAAUAUCUUUGUGCUCUGUAUGUUACUCCAAGUGCUCCCAUAAUCCAA